UACGUAGGGUGCGAGCGUUAAUCGGAAUUACUGGGCGUAAAGCGUGCGCAGGCGGCGGCUCAAGUCAGGUGUGAAAUCCCCGGGCUUAACCUGGGAAUUGCGCUUGAAACUAGGCUGCUUGAGUGUGGCAGAGGGGGGUGGAAUUCCACGUGUAGCAGUGAAAUGCGUAGAUAUCUGGAGGAACACCGGUGGCGAAGGCGGCAUCCUGGACCAAUACUGACGCUGAGGAGCGAAAGCCAGGGGAGCAAACGGG
RNAcentral lists this ribosomal RNA (253 nucleotides) under uncultured bacterium. RNAcentral's name for it is "partial 16S ribosomal RNA". It matches the Rfam family "Bacterial small subunit ribosomal RNA", at positions 524 to 776 of the family's 1533-position model. The record is from RNAcentral.